UCUGUGUUGGGCCACCAGGCUACUGAAGUGCUGUUAAUCCUUCAAGGCUCAUUUCAAACGCUCCCUGCUCCAGGACGCCUUCUUGGGUUGCUUCUUCCCUCUCAACCAGUUGUGACCUCUCCCUCGGUCACAUAUUCUCUUCAGGCAUCUGGCACUGGCUAGGUACCCCAAAACGCCGUUCCCUCCUUCCUCACCAGAACACCUUCUAUAUGUCAUUUACUAUGCUUAUACCGAACUUGUUUUAAACUUGUUUCUCCCAACAUUCCUCUGUCUGUCUGUCUCUCUGUCAUAAAAGCAGGAACAGGGUCACUCCGUACACUUUGAAAUUGAUCCCUAAAAUGUCCAAUAAUGUUCAGCAUCACGUGGCAGGCACUGUGAUUGACAUUUCAUCCUCAGAAAUUAGAGAUGUGCAGAAUCCAUGGCUUUGCUCAAGUCUUAUAUAUGAGAGCUGGGAUUCAUGCCAAGGUCAUUGGACGCCUGAAGUUCAGAGCUCUUAAGUUGUAUCAUAGUGGCUUUUACCUGGUAGGUAUACAAGGAAGAUGUUGAGUUGACUUUCUCUAUUAGUGAGCUGUUACUGUGUAUACCACUAAGGUUGCCUGUUUUUUGUCUGCCUAUUAAUAAAGUGUUUUCUGAACAGCAGAGAAAAUGUGUUUGUUCCUUGACUGGUUGCUUUCCCUGCAGAAUCUCUUCUUGAAAUAGAAUAUGACUGGUUUUUGCCAGUUAUCUGAGAGUUAGGGUGAUUUUUAAGGUAGGAAAGAGAAAUUUAAAAUCAAAAGUUUAGGUCAGAAUUUCUAAGGAAUGUCACACUGUCUAAGAGGGAGAAAUACAGAAGAAAAACACAACACAUAUGAGAGGUCUUUUGCCUUCGGGACCUUACAGUCUGGUCAGACAAGAAUGGCACACAUAAAAUCACCAAUCGCAUUUGCCAAAUAAACUCACGGGGGAUGUGAGUUGGCUGUGGUGGAAACACGCUGCUCUUCUUCAUGCAGAUAUUCAGAGACUCAGGGUCCUGUCUUAGGACAUCACCAGACCUCUAGCAGUGACACCUCCAGGGAGUAACUUAACCUCAUCUUUAAACUGCUUCGUAAGGUGGUUGCAAGGUUUAGAUGAGUUACUGCAGGUGUGGCACUUAGAACAGUGCUAGGGACGCGGCACUUGAUAAACGUGGGCUCUUAGCUCUACGCUCUGAACGUGGAACGGUAUGGACUCAUCUGCCGUGACUCUGGGCUCACGUGAUUUCUGUGCCUGGGUAGUAGGAGACCUCACAUGUGAACUCCGCCACUACACCUACGUUUCCCCAGUGUGAACAAGGCAUCACUGAAUCUCCCCAGCUGUGGGGAGCCCUUUUGGUUGUUUGGUUUGGUUUUGGGGCUAGAGCUGGGUUGCCAGCCCAGAGUGUAUAGGAUGAUGCCUGGACACUAGCCCUCGGAACAGUGAUUCUCCUUCUUGGGGACCCUCAGCACCUCAUCAGCUGCAUCUGACUCUAAUACCAGUCAGGUUUUUUCUCCCCAAGUCCAGGUUCUCUCCGGAACUUUUCAGUUGCCUCGACUGACUGAGAAAGCCCUACAGAAUACUCAGUCAGACGUACACAUUGGGUUCUUGAAGCCCUUCCCGUUGCCUCCUCUACCCGGGCAGAGAAGGGAGCUGAUCUCACAAGCCAGGCAGCCUUCUCGCCAUUUCCACACCUAGAUUUCAAAUCACACCCUUCUUCUCCACUGCAGGCCAACAAGCUCCUCUCUCAGUCCCCGGCCGGGUGUGGGUUCUUGUAGCUGUGAGACCUCAGUCGCUCAGGACUCUGGCAGCCGCUCGUCUGUUCUGUCUUCAGCUCUCCUGGCACCGCCGGAGAAUGGAAAAGCUGGUCUGUUUACAGGACAUAGGGCCAGAACAGCAUUAAAAACUAAGGAACAAAUAAGAUGUGGUAAACAAAUUUCCUUUCCAGUAAGGAGUGUUCCUAGCCCGGUCCUUCAACAGGAACCAUUUUCCUCAUGUGUUUGGAUAAACGUUCAUUCUGGGCAAUUACCAUUCCCAGGAGGGGCUGCCUAUUUCCGUUGGCUAUUUAUUUUGACUUUGACCGUUUCUCCCCCUUCUGAGCACCACACACCUAAUAGUAAAGAAACUCUGCUCCCUCUCGGGGCACUGGGAGCAACCCCCCAAGCCUGCCUUCUCUCGUCUCUUCCAUCACCCCUUCACUUCCAGACAAGGCAAGGACAUGGCGGGCAUCUUGCCCUGGAUGGCAGCUGUUCUCCGGGGAGAAGGAAGGAGGGAAGGAGGUGAAGCAGAGGAGAGAAAUGGUUUCAAAGAAAAGCUGGAACAGAUACAAAGGUUUAUGUGUGGGUGACCGUCUCUCUGAGAAAGCUCUUCAGCAUGAAUCCCCCUUGUGGGUUUUCGUGGGAGCAGAAAGCCAUUGAUCUCAGGUUUCCUGACCCCAGCAGGUAGCUUAUUGUAAAGCAGUUCAUCCAGAGGGGAAAAAAUACCUUGUUUCAGCAUUUUAAUUUUUUUUCCAGGGCUCUGAACCAGACUUGUAAGAAAGGAGAUAGAGAGGAUUAACUUAUUCUUUCCUAGCUCAGAAAUAGAUGUAACUGGCGGAAAAAAAAAAAAAAAAAAGAACCAAGCAACUUGGAACAAUGAUGAUUCUUGUUUACUUGUUUAGAAAUGCAUUGUUAUGAAGGGCCCCUAUUUGCAUAUUUUAAUUCCCCCCCCCCCUCCUCAUUCCCCCCUGCCCUGUUUUCCUUCUGUGCUGGGACAGAGGAAAGGAAGGCACACGCUAAGCGGACAGUGGUCAGUGUGGGUAACACAUUCUGCGUAAGUUCACUUCACUUUCUAAAUUCCUUGCCUUUGCCCGGUUGGAUGAAUUGGUGUUCUUGACGGUGCUGAAUUCGGAGAGGCCCUGAGAAGCGGAGCGGCGCUGACUCACGGACAAGACACGGGCUGGCUCUGGCUUUGGAGUCCUUAAGGCUGGACUCAGGGCGGCACCAGGAAGGGGCGGGGCGGGGGGGGAGGGUGCGCUCUGCCACCCCCCACAGCUUCCCCUUGAGCCCCAGCCUGCAAAUGGCCUUCCCAACUGCCACUCCCAAACCUUCUCCCAGAGACAUCCCAGAGCUGUCACAGGGUCACUUGUCCUGGGCUUUACCUGGGUCACGAGUUGGUGACGUGGUGAAGGGCGAAGCGAGACCCUUCGCCCCUUGGAGGAUGUUGGAGACACUUUCCUCCUUGGAGGACGUGGGCUUUCUCACGGCCCUGCCUUCUGAGGGCUGAAGGGUCCUUAUUCCAGGGGGUGUGAGACCCUCAUUAAUAAAACCUGGUUGGCGUGGGGAUAAUCCUGUUCGUGUGUGUUAAUGAGUGACGUGCACAGAACCACGUGCUGAGCCUCGAUCCCAAAACGUGCUGCUGGCUCUGUUCCUGGUGGGGAUGGGCCUUGGGUAGAACUUCUCCAGAGCACAGGAGGAGGUAUGUCUGAAGGUCCACCCCAGCCUGGUGCCCAGGCCCCUUUGAGAGCAAUGGGAGUUUCUAACUUAAUAAAAAUCAGUAUUCAACAAUCCGAUGCGAUGAGAGACUGCGGUCCCUGUUCGUGGACCUCGGUUUGGGGAAUGCUGAGGUUCAGGUGGAUCAAUUAAGCCACCCAACCUCCCUCGGCAAGUUGAUGGUGGGCAUUGAUGCGUCGGGCCUCUGGUCCCCACCUGGAAUAGAGCUCCCUGGAUGCCUAGAGGGUGGUACCUGCAGGGAGCGGAGGCCAGAGGAGGUAUCCGGAAAGCCUAGGAGGGAGGAAGGAUCCAGUCCAGGCAAAGUGCUGUAGACGCAAAAUCCAUUCAUGGUAGCUUCAUGCCUGCCGUCAGGGUUGGGCGCUCCAGGGUCAAGAAUGCUUUGAGUAAGAGGCACUGGGGGUGGACCAGCCCUCCCCCGGGGACGCUGGGCUCUCCAGGGUGGGGAAGACUUCAUCCGGGCUGCAUCCCAUUCUCGGUUCCGCUCUAUUUAGAACACUUUUUUUUUGGUGGAAAGCAGAUUGCUGAGGAGGAGAGCGCCCAGCCAGGCGGGGAGGUAGCUUCCAGAAUUGGGGCUGGAGGGAGGGAGAGGCAGAGGCGAAGACUCGCAGCAGGAUGUACCCGCCAGUAACCUUCUCACCUCUCUUCAUCUCGUCCCCGUCCAUCACUUUCCCCCUCCAGCCCAGCAGCCCAUCUCUGGGCAGAGCUUACGGAGGCAAGGUAGCAGCACCUGGAACUGUCUUCCGUCUUGCAAAGUGACACAGGCAACCGACAUUUAAAAAUUCGCGAGUCCAACAGAGAGCCCUUUUGCAGCAAAUACCCGCUUUGGUGAUGUGUGCCGCCCGUGGACUCGUGACACAGCAGGCCAGGCUGCGUGGGUGCAGAAUGACCUCGGAUGCGAUUCUCUUCUGGAAACAGGGGCAGCCUGGACCAAAGGUGGUUCCUGUGGAGGCGCUCGCCAGCAAAGAUGGCACAGGAGGUGUUUGACGCUUUGCUUACAGGACUUGGAUAACCCUCCCCCUCCCCUAGCAAAGGGACAGCUGUGCUAAAUACAGGAGACUUGGUGGGCAGAGAGAAAGUUGUGGGUGGCCAAAGGAUUUCUGUGUCUUUAAAAACCCUCUCCCAUCCCUGGCCCUCGCAUCAGUCUUUGUCUUGCAGGAGAAACUUGGUGUCUGAGAAGUGACUCCCACGGGCCCCCCUGCAGCUCCCUUUGGACCUGAGUGACACAGCUGGCUCUGCCCAUUGGACUCCAGUUGGCAUCCCUGAUGUCCUUUCUCUGCAGAAUUCUUCUGUGAAAUGGGCCAGAGUCACUCACCUUCCCGGCCAAGGCAACUUUGAGACCAAUGGCAACAGUUUUUCGAGAACUUUGGAAGCAGUAGGGUUGUGUACCCACUUGCUAACAGGCUAAAUCUUAGGGUCUCCCUAACCCACAGGAUUCUGGACGUGUGGAUCUGGAGGCCAGGGGGUGGCUUCCUGCUGGCGCACAGCAUUAAUGACCAGCGAAUGUUCAAAUGCAUGACACGCUACAUCCCUUUCCUGCUGGCCAGCUGCCUGGUCCUUCUGAGGCCUUCCAGGAGCCCGUAGGUGACUUUCAAACUCAGCUGUGCUCCUGAUUUGAAACCACUGGUUCUCAACCAAGGGUGGUUUUGUCCCCCUACCCAGCACCCCAGGGGCCAUUUGCAGAGUCUGGAGAUAUUUUCGGUUGAGGGGAGGGUACUAUAAGCAUCUAGUGGUAGAGAGCCAGGAUGCUGCUAAACGUCCUACAAUGCACAGGACAGGCCCCCACUGCAAAGGAUUAUCUAGCCCCAAAUGUCUGCAGCGUCAGGAUUGAGAAACUGUGCUUUUUUUCAACCUCUGCUGCCAGGUUGAAACAAGCAUGAACCCUCAUCACCCCCCUGCCCUCUCCCCAUUGCUUUAUUUAUCAAAGGGAGAAAAAAAAUCUGUUAUUUUUUCCAAGUGCAUUUCCCCCUGUAUCUUAUCAAGAACCACCAAGUUCAGCACACCCUUGAUUAGUCACUUCCAUUAACAGUGUUUAUUUUGGGGUUUGUGUUUAUUUUUGAAACGUGGUCACCCUCGUCCCCCCUCUCUUCCUUACGCACUAGUGGUGUGCGGCCAGCUUUCUAGCACGGUCUGGUCCACAUUUUCCUCCAUCCAUAAACCCACUGGGCCAGCUUCUGAGGAGGGAGGGCCAGCCUCUCCUCCCUCCACUGGGGGUUGGGGGAAGGCUGCCACUCCUGGAGUUUCUCUUAAAGUGGCAAUGGGGCAAUUGUCGUCUUCCCUCUGAUUUCUCAGAUACGCUUGAAAAUCCUUUUCAUUAGUGACUCUGUGGACCAACCGACCCGUGACAGAGCUGAGCCUUUACUCCCAGCCGUCCGCGUUCCGUGAAACCGAGGACGCGCGGUGGUUUUCUCCACUGAGUCAGAGGCAAGGACUUGUGGGUCUCUCCCGCUUCUCUCCACCCAUCCCUCCUCACUGCAGGCGAGUCUCUGGGUUAUAUUUAAGCGUUUCUGAGUCAUCGAGAGCCGAUUCCUUCUCCUCUCGGCCACCCACCCUCCACCCUCCCAAAUGGCAGUGGGAAUUCAGGGUUUAUGGCUGAGUUACCCCGGAGCUCAGAGGGGAUCUCUGCACAGCUUUGGGGGGCGUCUUCCUCUUUGAUCACCCGCUGCCCACCAUCCCUGCCGCUCCUCCCGGGGUUCCAGCAGCCACCACCUCCCCAGGAGGCACGUACAGAGCCCCUCAGCCCAUGAAGUCCCUCCCCGAUUUGGGGGGCGGGUCUCAUUGCUAGUCUUGGACAUAAGCACCCACGCACCCAAUGGCUGCAGCGAAACCCCCGCCCAAGGCUGCUCUGAGGCAGGCAAUCUGCACAGAAGGCCCAGGUACCCUCCCCCUCCCCCCUUACUCCUUCCUGGGACAUUUAUUUGAAUCCCACCGGGGAACUGGUUACUGUGGAAUAUUUAUUUGUUUAAACAUGGGUGGUUCCUACAGAGGAGGGUGUCAGGUUUCAAGGGUGGAGGAACAGUUGCAAACAGAGAGUGGGUGGUCUGGACAUGAAGCAGGCCGGGGUGGGGGUCAGAGAACCCAGGCCUUUUUAGGUUUGUAGGUGAAAAUGCUGAGUGACUAUUGCCUCAUUCUUGGCCCUUUUAUCAUGUUAUGUAAGACAGAGUGACUUGGUGUGGUUGGGUGGUGUUCAGACUCUGGGACAGCCUUUUGGUAGAUUGUUGAAAAGAGUAUUUGGAAAUCACUGGGCAAUGACUGGGCAAUCACUCUGAUUAAUUUAUCCUGAGGGCUUUGAUGACUGUCUGAGUGCCUGGGGAGGAUCGGAAGGGUGCAGGCUGGUUCUAACUGCAGCCCCACCUCUAAGAUUCUGAAAGAUUCUUAAGGGCUAGUGCACUAUUGGAAUAGCAGAGCCUCUUUCCUAAAACCGCUUGAGUUGUUGACUAGAAUGAAUGGUCCUGCCUUGUGUCCUGGGGCCAGCCUCCUUUCCGGGUUAAACUAGCAGAAACAUAUCUCUGAUAAGUUUUGGGGUUCACAUCAGCCCUGAAUGACAGAGUUUGGAGUUUUGUAUUUGGCAGGUAACGGUCCAAGUAAACCCAAGAUGGAGGGGAAACCAGAGGUAUAGUUGAGAUCACUGCUCUCCGGUCCAUGGUUUUCCAAAACCUGGAAGUAGCAGCAAUAUAGUGUGUUGUCCUUAAGCCUCUUCCACAGCUUCUCAGCUACAGAAUUGGAAAGUGCAGAGGAAGGCUAUUAGUUUCCACAGAUGCACUGCUGAAAAGAUCCAGUGUUUUGCCAGGAGAUGCUUUUUGGAGGGAAAGCACCAGGGGAGGUUCUGGAGCAUGCAGUGACUAACAGAGUUAAAUACAAGAGAUCCGGUAGAGAUAAUAGUGAGUGACUGUCUUCUAACGUCCUACCAAGGGGAAAAGGAGAUGGGAUUCAUGGAGCAAUGUGGAAGUAGGUCAAACAUCAGAAAUCAUCUCGUAAUACUGAAAGUGAUAGUGCCGAGAGGGGCUGAAGUAUCCCUUUUUUAAAAUUAGGAAGGAGAGGAAUGCUUUUUACCAAGUCUUAAGUACUGUUCUUUCUGGACAGAGAAAAAGACUGUCCCUAGAUGAAUAGCUUCAUCAAGGAAACCUUGUUAAAAAUUAGCGAUGUCACGUACAUGCUGAAAUAUUUAGGGCUGAAGGGGCCUGCUGUCUGCAUUUUACCUUGACAUAUGUUUAAAAAGUAAGAUGGGUCGAUGGACGGAUAAAUGCAUAGAUGUGUGAUGAAACAUAGUGGCAUCUUGACGUCACAGAGUCUAGGUGGGUAUGCAGGUAUAACAUUUCUAUGUGUUUGGACGUUUUCAAAUAAAAUAUUGGAGGAAAGUACCAAGCCCUGGGCCACCCAUGGUAAUUCAGAUUCAGUGAGUUGGUGAUGAGGUCUAGGAAUGUUCUGAGCUUUGCAAGGGAUUCUGAUGAGUCAAGUCUGUUGGGGCCCAUGUGGAAUAGGUUGGUUUUCCUCAAACUUGGAUACGCACAGGAAACCCCUGGAGAUUCUGUCAAAUGCAGGGUCUGAUCCAGCAGGUCUGGAGUGGGGCCUGAGUCUACAUUUCUCACAAGCUCCCAGGUGAUGCUGAGGCUGCCCGUGCCUGGACCAUACCCUGGGCAAGAAGGAAGAGAGAACUCUUCCGUGUUCUCUGCAUCUGAGAAGUCCAGUGGGUCUCAGCUUGGGUUUCACAUUGGAAUCAUCUGGGUAGCUUUAAAAUAAACUGGAUGGCUGGGAGUGCGGGGGUCUCACCCCCAGAGAUUCUGGUUAAUUGGCCCGGGCUGCAGCAUGGGCAAUGAGAUUGAAGACCCCUCAGAUGAUUCUAAUGUGCAAGCGCUGAUUUCAUGUCAGGAAGGGAAUCGAUGGAAUAUUAAAUCUCAGGAAAUGAACUUUUGCACAGAAAGACGCUGCGGACCCUCGUCACCCACGUGUGCAGAGGUUUCCAGCCACGAAAGACUCAAAGCCACUCACCUCCUUUCCCUCAUGAUGAGAAUGACUGACAGCCAGCACUGAUUGAGUGUCAGGCGAUUUUUGUUAGUCCGUUUCAUCAUCACAGUACCCCAUGAGGCAGGCGUUAGUAUCCUAUCUUAGAGAUGGGGAAAUUGAGCUUGGUUGAGUUCAGUGACUGGCCCAAGGUAACACAGCUAAUAAAUAAGACUUGGGCGGAGGUAUGAACUAGGUCCGCCUGACUUCAAAGGCCAUGCUUUUUAACUAUCAUAUUACUCUGUUGUCCGCACGAUCUUUGCCAAGAAAUUAGAAAACUAUAGCCCGUGGGCAGGUCGAGUCUGGCCAGCUGCCUGUUUUUAUAAAUAAAGUUUUAUUGGAACACAGCCCCGCCUCUUCAUCUAUGUCUUGUCUGCAUCUGCUUUCGUGCUAUAAUGGCAGAGUUGAGCAUUUGCAGCAGAGACCCUGGGGCCUGCAAAGCCGAAAAUAUUUAUCUCUGGCCCCUGACAGAAAAGAGUUGGGUGACCCUCGAUGGAUUGGUGAGACAGCUAGCACAGAGCCGGGGAGCAAUCCUCGGCUGUGCUCCGAGCAGAAGGAAUAACCCAUGGAGAAUGAACUUGAACUCACGGUCCCUGUAGCUCUGGUUUCUGCUGACGUUUUACUUCGAUCUCGUGGCCUGCGUUCUACUCCAAAAGGGUUACAACUUGCUUCCUUGGAACAGAUUUUAUUUUCACGCCAAAAGUUUUGAUCUGUUUUAAGAGCAAAAGGUCUUGCUCCCGAAGCCAGGGCUGUCACAGGGCUCCCUGCAGAGUGGGGCAAGGGAGACCAGCUGCCUGCCACCUUCUGUGGCAGCACGGUGGGAGGCUUGCGUGGAAAAGCCUGGAGCCCUGUGGCUCCUUGGAGGCAGCAAGAGGCUUCCGUCCCUUCCCACCAGCCAUCCACCAAGAAACCCUGUCAAGAGGUCAGGAGGGAAGAGAGAGGGAGGAAAUGCCAAUCAAUCCAUCAAAGCCCCACCCUCCUGCGCUUCCAGCCGGUUAGCCGGGCCUGAGCAUCCUUGGGGGCGGGGUGGGGGGGUGGCGGGGUGCAGGCGCAUGGAGGGGAAGUGCAUUUGGUAAUGAUUCUAGAUUUCCUGUUUGGUUCCUGGGGUGGGGUGGGGGGGAGCUGGGCUAUGCUAGCUCCUAGUCUAUGUGGACUCUUGCACGUUGCGUUCUUUCUUUUCUACCGGUUGUUGUUUCUUUGUUUUUUCUCUUUACUACUUUUCUUCCUCUGAGGUUUGUUUGCAUUUUUUUGUUGUUAAUUGGUGUGAGGAGGGCCUCCUUCAGGAAAAUUGGUGGAAAAGGAGAGGUGAGGGGCAAGGAGAGGCCAGGAUACCCUGCCUGGAUUCCUGGGGCAUUGGCCUGGGUACCAUAGAAAUUUUGUCCCCCCUGGACAGACGUAGUAGGAGAGCUGUAAAGAAUCUGUUUAGGUAGACAAACGUUAUGCAGUGCUUACUGCGUGCAUGGGAUACAAAGGCACACAAAAAAGGCCCAUCUUCUGCUGUAAGAGGUCAAAGAUGAGAGAGAGAGAGUUCAAAGCAGCUUGAUAAACUCAAUGGAAGAAGUAGGUAGGAUGGAGAUGGGUGUAUGGGGAGGGGCUCAGGAAUCCUUUAGCUCAGUUUUCUCUUCCAAACAAGACUGAGCCUUAGUCUCGGAGAUGCGAGGGGCACCUCUCACCAAAUGACAGUCAGAGCUAAUAAGACCAGACAUCACUGCGAAGUCCCCGGCACAACUGCCUGGUGUUACCGGGCAGGUGGACCGUUUGCUGCUCCCUUGGAUACAAGCCUUAGGCCGGGAGCUCUGGGGCUGGAAUCCUGCGGCUGCUUUGGCCUCGGGGAGGCUGAGGCUCCGGGUAGCACAGAGGUGAUCUGCCUUCUUUUCAUUACAUAAGGACUUUGAUCCCUCCAACGAGCAGAAAAGAGAGUUCUCCCUUUUCAGCACCUUCUAAUAUCCUCCCCGCUGGCUGUGCUGGCCCUGCUGUCACCUCACCUUGAAGGAGAAAGGAUGUGUUCCCAGCUGGGCCCUUUCUCUUCCCGGUUUGAACUGGGAGUGAGCGAAGCUCAGGAAACAGAUUGUAGCCACAGGGCUCCGGCUGCACCUGAGCGCAUCAGGGGGACGGGAGGGGAGGUGGAGAGACACGGGGUCCUCGGUGCCACACGCUUCGCCCAGCUGACCUUUGCUGUCGGAGCUCCAGGCUGAGGGUUCGUUGUGGUGGAGCCAGGGAUGAUGGCCCAGCAGCUAUAGGACUGCAACUU
Aethalodelphis obliquidens (Pacific white-sided dolphin) is the source of this 10731-nucleotide long non-coding RNA. RefSeq lists it as uncharacterized. The record is from RefSeq and is a predicted model, not a curated record. The transcript has 2 exons. NCBI's taxonomy places the organism in Eukaryota, Metazoa, Chordata, Mammalia, Artiodactyla, Delphinidae.